UAGGGAAUCUUCGGCAAUGGGGGCAACCCUGGCCGAGCAACGCCGCGUGAGUGAAGAAGGUUUUCGGAUCGUAAAGCUCUGUUGUAAGAGAAGAACGAGUGUGAGAGUGGAAAGUUCACACUGUGACGGUAACUUACCAGAAAGGGACGGCUAACUACGUGCCAGCAGCCGCGGUAAUACGUAGGUCCCGAGCGUUAUCCGGAUUUAUUGGGCGUAAAGCGAGCGCAGGCGGUUAGAUAAGUCUGAAGUUAAAGGCUGUGGCUUAACCAUAGUACGCUUUGGAAACUGUUUAACUUGAGUGCAGAAGGGGAGAGUGGAAUUCCAUGUGUAGCGGUGAAAUGCGUAGAUAUAUGGAGGAACACCGGUGGCGAAAGCGGCUCUCUGGUCUGUACUGACGCUGAGGCUCGAAAGCGUGGGGAGCAAACA
Molecule: ribosomal RNA, 426 nt
Filed under: uncultured prokaryote
Description: bacterial SSU rRNA
Rfam family: Bacterial small subunit ribosomal RNA
Source: RNAcentral